GUGCUUAUUUCAUCAGCACAAACACUAUAAUUAAAAUGUUACGAGAAGAUUAGUGUGGUCCCUGAGCAAGGAUGCACAGAAAUUCAUGAAGUGUCUCGUAUCUUU
Molecule: small nuclear RNA, 105 nt
Organism: Suricata suricatta (meerkat)
Lineage: Eukaryota; Metazoa; Chordata; Mammalia; Carnivora; Herpestidae
Source: Ensembl